This 319-nucleotide long non-coding RNA is filed under the name Androctonus crassicauda. The record is from RNAcentral. Lineage: Eukaryota; Metazoa; Arthropoda; Arachnida; Scorpiones; Buthidae.
GUACACUUCAUCUGGUAAUGGACCAACUUCUAGUAGUUUAUCGAGAAACUCAAGCAACGAUUCUACAGUAUAUGGGUAGUUCUUCAUCUAUAGUAGAGCCCAUGCUACUAUUGUCUUCUCUAAUUGGUACAGAUGCGACAACAUCUUAUCAACCAUCGGUCUUAGUUGGACAGGUAUCUUAUGCCCCUUUACCUAUCCGAAUAAUCUGGGAGCGUACAUAUUUGGGUUGUUCCUCACUUUCCAUUUAGUCAGGAAGGUUUUAGCUCUAACAAUCUUAUUAACUUUUCGUUGUAAAAUCUGUGUUAGGUCAUACUGAGGC